UGAGGAAUAUUGGUCAAUGGACGAGAGUCUGAACCAGCCAAAUCGCGUGAAGGAAGACUGCCCUACGGGUUGUAAACUUCUUUUGUACAGGAAUAAAAGACAUUACGUGUAAUGUAUUGCAUGUACUGUACGAAUAAGCAUCGGCUAACUCCGUGCCAGCAGCCGCGGUAAUACGGAGGAUGCGAGCGUUAUCCGGAUUUAUUGGGUUUAAAGGGUGCGCAGGCGGGAUUUUAAGUCAGCGGUGAAAUUUUCAGGCUCAACCUGAACGCUACCGUUGAAUCUGGGUGUCUUGAGUAUGGAUGAAGUAGGCGGAAUUCGUUGUGUAGCGGUGACAUGCUUAGAUAUAACGAGGAACUCCGAUUGCGUAGGCAGCUUACUAAGCCAUAACUGACGCUCAAGCACGAAAGCGUGGGGAUCAAACAGGA
RNAcentral lists this ribosomal RNA (425 nucleotides) under Dysgonomonas sp. RNAcentral describes it as "bacterial SSU rRNA". It matches the Rfam family "Bacterial small subunit ribosomal RNA", at positions 355 to 777 of the family's 1533-position model. Lineage: Bacteria; Pseudomonadati; Bacteroidota; Bacteroidia; Bacteroidales; Dysgonomonadaceae. The record is from RNAcentral.